Molecule: ribosomal RNA, 465 nt
Filed under: uncultured bacterium
Lineage: Bacteria
Description: bacterial SSU rRNA
Rfam family: Bacterial small subunit ribosomal RNA
Source: RNAcentral
UGGCUAACUCCUACGGGAGGCAGCAGUGGGGAAUAUUGCACAAUGGGCGAAAGCCUGAUGCAGCAACGCCGCGUGGGGGAUGACGGCCUUCGGGUUGUAAACCUCUUUUAGUAGGGAAGAAGGACUUCGGUUUGACGGUACCUGCAGAAAAAGCACCGGCUAACUACGUGCCAGCAGCCGCGGUAAUACGUAGGGUGCAAGCGUUGUCCGGAAUUAUUGGGCGUAAAGAGCUCGUAGGCGGUUUGUCGCGUCUGCUGUGAAAACCCGAGGCUCAACCUCGGGCCUGCAGUGGGUACGGGCAGACUAGAGUGCGGUAGGGGAGAAUGGAAUUCCUGGUGUAGCGGUGGAAUGCGCAGAUAUCAGGAGGAACACCGAUGGCGAAGGCAGUUCUCUGGGCCGUUACUGACGCUGAGGAGCGAAAGCGUGGGGAGCGAACAGGAUUAGAAACCCCAGUAGUCCAGCUGG